CCGGCGCACGGGUGAGUAACGCGUAUGCGACCUGCCCGUUGCAGGGGGAUAAUCGGGAGAAAUCCCGUCUAAUACCGCGUAACGCCGCGGGGCUGCAUGGCCCUGCGGCCAAAGGGAGCGAUUCCGGCAACGGAUGGGCAUGCGUGACAUUAGCUAGUUGGCGGGGCAACGGCCCACCAAGGCGACGAUGUCUAGGGGUUCUGAGAGGAAGGUCCCCCACAUUGGAACUGAGACACGGUCCAAACUCCUACGGAAGGCAGCAG
Molecule: ribosomal RNA, 263 nt
Filed under: uncultured bacterium
Lineage: Bacteria
Description: partial 16S ribosomal RNA
Rfam family: Bacterial small subunit ribosomal RNA
Source: RNAcentral